AUGUUGGAGGCAACUGGGACCAUGCUGUGGCCAACUGAGACAUCUAGGAUCAUAUUGUUGGCAGCUGGGUCCAUGCUGGGAUCAACUGGGACCAAUUGGGGGCAGAUGAGACUAUUCUGUGAUCAACUGGAACCCACUGGGAUCAUUCUGGGGGCCAGCUGGGAGAAACUGGGAUCAUAUUUCCCCCCUGUGAUCCCUCCCGGGAUCAUAUCCCCGCCCUGUGAUCCAGGAAGAGACAGAGACCUGCUCCUCCAUCUGGACUGUCACAAGUCCAUGGAACCAGACGAGCUCCACCCUAGGGUGCUGAGGGAGCUGGUGGAGGUAAUCGCCAAGCUGCUUUCCACCAUCUAUCAGCGUUCCUGGUUCUCUGGAGAGGUCCCAGAGGAUUGGAGGCUUGCCGAUGUGACUCCCAUCUACAAGAAGGGCCGUAAGGAGGACCCGGGGAACUACAGGCCUGUCAGCCUGACCGCUGUUCCAGGGAAAGUUAUGGAGCAAACCAUCUUGGGUGAGGUCACAUGGCACGUGCGUGGCAUCCAGGGGAUCAGGCCCAGCCAGCACAGGUUCACGAAAGGCAGGUCGUGCUUGUCCAACCUCAUCUCCUUCUAUGAUCGUGUGACCAGACUGGUAGAUGAGGGAAGGGCUGUUGAUGUAGUCUACCUAGACUUCAGCAAAGCCUUUGACACGGUCUCCCACAGUAUUCUACUGGGGAAACUGGCUGCCCAUGGCCUGGACAGGUAUACUCUUCUCUGGGUAAAGAACUGGCUGGAGGGCUGUGCCCAGCGGGCAGGGGUUAAUGGAGUUAAGUCCAGCUGGCAUCCCAUUACAAGUGGUGUCCCCAGGGGUCGGUACUGGGGCCUAUCUUGUUUAAUAUCUUUAUUCGUGUCCUGGAUGAGGGGAUUGAAUGUACCCUCAGUGAGUUUGCAGACGACACCGAGUUGGGAGGCAGUGUCGAUCUGCCUGAGGGUGGGGUGGCUCUUCAGAGGGAUCUGGAUAGGUUGGACUGCUGGGCUGAGGCGAACGGGAUGA
This 1026-nucleotide long non-coding RNA is filed under the name Anser brachyrhynchus (Pink-footed goose). Its description in RNAcentral is "lncRNA (ENSABRG00000021373.1)". The record is from RNAcentral. Lineage: Eukaryota; Metazoa; Chordata; Aves; Anseriformes; Anatidae.